AGUCGAGCGGUAGCACAGAGAGCUUGCUCUCGGGUGACGAGCGGCGGACGGGUGAGUAAUGUCUGGGAAACUGCCUGAUGGAGGGGGAUAACUACUGGAAACGGUAGCUAAUACCGCAUAAUGUCGCAAGACCAAAGUGGGGGACCUUCGGGCCUCAUGCCAUCAGAUGUGCCCAGAUGGGAUUAGCUAGUAGGUGGGGUAACGGCUCACCUAGGCGACGAUCCCUAGCUGGUCUGAGAGGAUGACCAGCCACACUGGAACUGAGACACGGUCCAGACUCCUACGGGAGGCAGCAGUGGGGAAUAUUGCACAAUGGGCGCAAGCCUGAUGCAGCCAUGCCGCGUGUGUGAAGAAGGCCUUCGGGUUGUAAAGCACUUUCAGCGGGGAGGAAGGCGUUAAGGUUAAUAACCUUGUCGAUUGACGUUACCCGCAGAAGAAGCACCGGCUAACUCCGUGCCAGCAGCCGCGGUAAUACGGAGGGUGCAAGCGUUAAUCGGAAUUACUGGGCGUAAAGCGCACGCAGGCGGUCUGUCAAGUCGGAUGUGAAAUCCCCGGGCUCAACCUGGGAACUGCAUUCGAAACUGGCAGGCUAGAGUCUUGUAGAGGGGGGUAGAAUUCCAGGUGUAGCGGUGAAAUGCGUAGAGAUCUGGAGGAAUACCGGUGGCGAAGGCGGCCCCCUGGACAAAGACUGACGCUCAGGUGCGAAAGCGUGGGGAGCAAACAGGAUUAGAUACCCUGGUAGUCCACGCCGUAAACGAUGUCGAUUUGGAGGUUGUGCCCUUGAGGCGUGGCUUCCGGAGCUAACGCGUUAAAUCGACCGCCUGGGGAGUACGGCCGCAAGGUUAAAACUCAAAUGAAUUGACGGGGGCCCGCACAAGCGGUGGAGCAUGUGGUUUAAUUCGAUGCAACGCGAAGAACCUUACCUGGUCUUGACAUCCACAGAACUUUCCAGAGAUGGAUUGGUGCCUUCGGGAACUGUGAGACAGGUGCUGCAUGGCUGUCGUCAGCUCGUGUUGUGAAAUGUUGGGUUAAGUCCCGCAACGAGCGCAACCCUUAUCCUUUGUUGCCAGCGGUUAGGCCGGGAACUCAAAGGAGACUGCCAGUGAUAAACUGGAGGAAGGUGGGGAUGACGUCAAGUCAUCAUGGCCCUUACGACCAGGGCUACACACGUGCUACAAUGGCAUAUACAAAGAGAAGCGACCUCGCGAGAGCAAGCGGACCUCAUAAAGUAUGUCGUAGUCCGGAUUGGAGUCUGCAACUCGACUCCAUGAAGUCGGAAUCGCUAGUAAUCGUAGAUCAGAAUGCUACGGUGAAUACGUUCCCGGGCCUUGUACACACCGCCCGUCACACCAUGGGAGGUGGGUUGCAAAAGAAGUA
This 1377-nucleotide ribosomal RNA is filed under the name Klebsiella sp. UIWRF0396. RNAcentral's name for it is "bacterial SSU rRNA". It matches the Rfam family "Bacterial small subunit ribosomal RNA", at positions 60 to 1428 of the family's 1533-position model. The record is from RNAcentral. Lineage: Bacteria; Pseudomonadati; Pseudomonadota; Gammaproteobacteria; Enterobacterales; Enterobacteriaceae.